RNAcentral lists this ribosomal RNA (492 nucleotides) under uncultured bacterium. RNAcentral describes it as "partial 16S ribosomal RNA". It matches the Rfam family "Bacterial small subunit ribosomal RNA", at positions 29 to 507 of the family's 1533-position model. The record is from RNAcentral.
AGUGAACGCUGGCGGUAGGCCUAACACAUGCAAGUCGAACGGCAGCACAGUAAGAGCUUGCUCUUACGGGUGGCGAGUGGCGGACGGGUGAGGAAUACAUCGGAAUCUACUUUUUCGUGGGGGAUAACGUAGGGAAACUUACGCUAAUACCGCAUACGACCUACGGGUGAAAGCAGGGGAUCUUCGGACCUUGCGCGAUUGAAUGAGCCGAUGUCGGGUUAGCUAGUUGGCGGGGUAAAGGCCCACCAAGGCGACGAUCCGUAGCUGGUCUGAGAGGAUGAUCAGCCACACUGGAACUGAGACACGGUCCAGACUCCUACGGGAGGCAGCAGUGGGGAAUAUUGGACAAUGGGCGCAAGCCUGAUCCAGCCAUACCGCGUGGGUGAAGAAGGCCUACGGGUUGUAAAGCCCUUUUGUUGGGAAAGAAAAGCAGCAGGUUAAUACCCCGCUGUUCUGACGGUACCCAAAGAAUAAGCACCGGCUAACUUCGUG